This 245-nucleotide ribosomal RNA is filed under the name uncultured bacterium. RNAcentral's name for it is "partial 16S ribosomal RNA". It matches the Rfam family "Bacterial small subunit ribosomal RNA", at positions 524 to 768 of the family's 1533-position model. The record is from RNAcentral.
UACGAAGGGGGCUAGCGUUGCUCGGAAUCACUGGGCGUAAAGCGCACGUAGGCGGGUUCUUAAGUCAGGGGUGAAAUUCUGGAGCUCAACUCCAGAACUGCCUUUGAUACUGAGAAUCUAGAGUUCGGGAGAGGUGAGUGGAACUGCGAGUGUAGAGGUGAAAUUCGUAGGUAUUCGCAAGAACACCAGUGGCGAAGGCGGCUCACUGGCCCGAUACUGACGCUGAAGUGCGAAAGCGUGGGGAG